GACGAACGCUGGCGGCGUGCUUAACACAUGCAAGUCGAACGGACAGGCCCUGCUUUUGCGGGGUGCUCGUGUGGCGAACGCGUGAGUAUCACGUGAGUAACCUGCCCCUGACUUUGGGGUAACAUCUGGAAACUGGGGCUAAUACCCGAUAGGAGCUCCUGCUGCAUGGUGUGGGUUGGUAAGAUUCGGCGGUGGGGGAUAGACUCGCGGCUUAUCAGCUGGCUGGUGGGGUAGUGGCUUACCAAGGCUUCGAGGGGUAGCCGGCCUGAGAGCGUGACCGGGGACAUUGCGACUGAGAGACGGACCAGACUCGUACGGGCGGCAGUGGUGGGAAGUCUUGCACAGUGGGGGGAAGCCUGAUACGGCGAUGCUGCGUGCGGAAAGACCGGCUAUGGGUUGAAAACAGAUUUCGCAGGUGAUGAAGCGUGAGUGACGGUACUGGAUCAAGAAGCACCGGCUAACUACGUG
RNAcentral lists this ribosomal RNA (468 nucleotides) under uncultured bacterium. Its description in RNAcentral is "partial 16S ribosomal RNA". It matches the Rfam family "Bacterial small subunit ribosomal RNA", at positions 28 to 507 of the family's 1533-position model. The record is from RNAcentral.